Molecule: non-coding RNA, 202 nt
Organism: Biomphalaria pfeifferi
Lineage: Eukaryota; Metazoa; Mollusca; Gastropoda; Planorbidae
Source: the annotation of a GenBank genome assembly
UCUAGAAGUGUAUAGCUGAAUUAUUCUGUUUGUACAUUAUUAGGCUCAGUGGUGUAUAUUUUUAUUGUUUGGGACAGUUAUGCAAGACACAUAAAUACAGCAAAUGUGUACUUGAGAUUUUUACAAAAUAAUGCUGUGGCACAAUAACCGUAACUCUAUGACUUUUGUUUUCUUUCUGAUUAUUUUUUUUUUUUUUUUUUUG